AUUGAACGCUGGCGGCAUGCCUUACAUAUGCAAGUCGAACGGCAGCACGGACUUCGGUCUGGUGGCGAGUGGCGAACGGGUGAGUAAUGUAUCGGAACGUACCUUUCAGUGGGGGAUAACGUAGCGAAAGUUACGCUAAUACCGCAUAUUCUGUGAGCAGGAAAGCAGGGGAUCGAAAGACCUUGCGCUGAUUGAGCGGCCGAUAUCAGAUUAGCUAGUUGGUGGGGUAAAGGCCUACCAAGGCGACGAUCUGUAGCGGGUCUGAGAGGAUGAUCCGCCACACUGGAACUGAGACACGGUCCAGACUCCUACGGGAGGCAGCAGUGGGGAAUUUUGGACAAUGGGGGCAACCCUGAUCCAGCCAUGCCGCGUGAGUGAAGAAGGCCUUCGGGUUGUAAAGCUCUUUCGGCCGGGAAGAAAUCGCAUAGGCUAAUACCCUGUGUGGAUGACGGUACCGGAAUAAGAAGCACCGGCUAACUACGUG
Molecule: ribosomal RNA, 484 nt
Filed under: uncultured bacterium
Lineage: Bacteria
Description: partial 16S ribosomal RNA
Rfam family: Bacterial small subunit ribosomal RNA
Source: RNAcentral